GCCAUCUUGUGACCAUGAGGAAGUAGGCAUGAGGAAGAAGAGCUAAUAUGCUGAGGAAGGCUCAGUCUGGUGUGGCAGGGAGACUCGUGGGUACUUGCAAGACGUCCAGCAUCCGACUGCAGCCUCCAUGCUCUCACCUUGAUUCAGGUCCCCCUUGUCACCUCUCCUGGUUUGCUGGGACCAGCCAUAACUGGGCUCCUUAAUUCCAUCCUUGUCUGUAGAAACUGACCUGUCCAAGGCUACAGUUUUCUAACUUUUUCAUUUUAAAAUGAAAUUUGGUUGCCAAAAAAUACAUAAAAACGUAUAACUUCAUGAAAUAAUAAAACAAACAUCCUUAUAUCCCGGACCAAGUCAAGAAAUAAUGCUUUGUUAGAAGCCUCUCCAUGGCCGCAGGCCAGCCCCAGCCCUGCCCCUCCUCCAGAGUGGCCAACCCAUCUGACGUGGUGAACAUCUCUCUGUCCAUGACCCUGGCAUCACCAGCCAAGGUGCCUCCUCAGACCCAACAGCUGUUGUGACUGAUUCCGUACAUCUUGGUAUGUCUUUAAAGUCCACAGUAUAUCCCUCGGUGCCUCGUUUCCCAAGAAUUCCUCUCUGUCACAGUCCUGGGCUGUGGGACUGGCAGAGUUUCUCACAAUCUGGGUUCUGGUAAUUCCACAUUUAUGGUCAGUCAACGCCAUCCCCACAUUCUCUCCAUCCUCCAUAUUUCUAGAAAAAAUGGCAGCUGGAUCCAGGAAGCUUGGUCAGAA
Molecule: long non-coding RNA, 746 nt
Filed under: Mustela putorius furo (domestic ferret)
Lineage: Eukaryota; Metazoa; Chordata; Mammalia; Carnivora; Mustelidae
Description: lncRNA (ENSMPUG00000031001.1)
Source: RNAcentral